Molecule: ribosomal RNA, 306 nt
Filed under: Triticum aestivum (bread wheat)
Lineage: Eukaryota; Viridiplantae; Streptophyta; Magnoliopsida; Poales; Poaceae
Description: partial small subunit ribosomal RNA
Source: RNAcentral
AUGGUGUUCUCGGCCGGCCAGCUCCGGGCGCACCAGUUCCCCGCCGUGCGGUCUUCACUGGGCGGCAGCGAGGUGGCGUCGCCGGUGCUGAGCUCAUCCAUGGGCGGCACGGAGCCGGCGUCGACCGGGAGCAAGAAACGUGUCAGCUUCACGGCGGACGGCGCGGGGAAGACGGCGGCGAAGCCCGGCGGCGCGCAGAAGAAAGGCGGCGGCCUGCUGGGGUGCAUGGGGUCAGCGUGCGGGUUGUCGCGUGACGAGGUGGUGGAGCCGACCAUGAACGCUAACCGUAAGGUUGCGUGUGCUUGA